AGGUGCCUCCCGGGGCCUGAGCCUCUCGGCGGGCUGGGCGCGGCGGGGGUGCCUAGCCGGGCCUCAGUUUCCCCUCCCACCGCGCCCUGCUGGAUCGUGGCGGGUGCUUCCCAGGUUAGAGCAACUGUUCCCAACCUCGAUCGACCAGUAGGGGAAAAUAGGGAACUUGGAUCAAAGUGCCAGGGAGGUAAAUGCCUUCGCACAGCCUAGUGGCAGCGGAUCCGUGGGGGGUGGGAACACACUUUAACUGCCCGUGGAGUCAAAUCAUGGGGGUUUACAACCUUGGCCCGUCAGAGCCUCUCAGACCUUCUGUGGGAAUGUUAUUUCCCAAGCGUGGGCUUCCUACAGCAAGGAAGGCAGCACAAAUCCAGCAAGGUGAAAGAGUGGACAAAAGUGUCGCUGUCAAGCAAGUGCCACUCAACAAAGCUUUAUUAAUUCACUACGUGGAUGGCCAUGAGCUAGCCACAAUGAAAGUAGAACGAUGAAUCUAAAAGUCUUGAACUAAAAAAAUUCACUUUCUUUUAGAGUAAAUAUACAAAAUAAUCAUGACUGAAAAUAGUAAUCAUCAUCAUCAUAAAAGCUCAUCUUUUUUAGUGCUUAUUCCAUACCAGACACUGCUAAGCAUGUAAGCAUGAAUCUUUAAAAACCUAUGAGAUGGGAACCUACUUAUAGAUGAGGAAUUGAGGCACAAGGAUACUCAGUGACUUACUCAAAGACACUCUGGGAUGUGGCAAAGCUGGAAUUCAAACACAUAUAAAUAAUCAUGACCCAAUAAUAGCUAACAUUUCUUGAGCAAGUAAUUAUGUACGAAGUACUGAAGUGUUCGGACACUGUGAUUUAGCUCAUUUAAUCCUAACAGUCCUGUAAGAGGGGGUGCCUUUAUUGCAUCCGUUUUGCAGAUAAGGAAAGUGAGGAAUGGAGAAAUUAAAUAACUAGUUAGUCUUGCAGCUAGUAAGUGAAAAAGCCCGGGUUUGAGCCCAAGCCAGUCACAGGCCUGUGACAUAACCACCGUGCUAUUAAUAUAUUGCCCAAGAAAAGAAAGUGUUGUAGUGGGUCAAAGGGAGAGCUCAGGUGUAAACUGUGGACGUCGAAAAAGGGUUUGUGGUGACCGGGCGCGGUGGCUCGCGACUGUAAACCCAGCACUUUGGGAGGCCAAGGCGGGCGGAUCACAAGGUCAGGAGAUCGAGACCAUCCUGGCUAACACAGUGAAAUCCCAUCUCUACUAAAAAUACAAAAAAUUAACCGGGCGUGGUGGCACACGCCUGUAGUCCCAGCUACUCGGGAGGCUGAGGCAGGAGAAUCGCUUGAACCCAGGAGGCAGAGGUUGCAGUGAGCAGAGAUCGUGCCACUGCACUCCAGCCUGGGAAACAGAGCGAGAUUCCAUCUCAAAAAAAAAAAAAAAGAAAAAGGGUUUGUGUUUUGCAACUCCAGUGUUAUAAUGGAUACAGGCAAAGACCAUCAGUAAAUACUAAAACCAUCUGGUGAAAAAUUAUUGUGAAGCGGAAUAUUCUCUUUGUCUCAAAGUAUCACCUUCAAAGUAUACUUCCUUAAAAAACACAAAAUACCUCUUCACAAUGGAAAGAUCUGGUAGAACCACCUUAAUCAAGUAAUUAAAACUAGUAUCACCAAUUUUUAAAAAACUAGCAUUUUCUGCUUUCUAAAGUGAUGCAAUAAAAAAUGCUAAAGGGUAAUAUUUAAAAGAUGGUAUAAUCAUGACUCAGAUGUAGAAUGAACAUGUAUCAAAGGUAUUCCUUAGCUCAUUCAUUAAUGUGAGAACCGGUAACAUGUCACAGCUGGUUCAAAGGAAAAUCCAAGGAGAAUCCAACAAAUAUUCAAGCAGUUAGGAAUGCUGAAAUAAGGUUGUCUAUAGAUGGAAAAUUGGUCAGUAACCAUAGGUCAAAAAACAGCUGCGUACGCAAUAGACACAAUUUGCAUUUCUAAAGACAAAAAUCGUGUAUAUUACCAUCAGUAGUCUACAAUUUACAGAGUUGUAAAAUACCUCAAAGACAGUGGCAGACACAAGACCCCAUAGAAUCAGAUAACCCAAAAGACUGUACUAAACAGCUAGCAUUCCAUUACAGUUGACCACUAAUAUUUUUGGUCCAUUUCAAAGUCUUUCACAGUUAUUCCCUACCGUACACACUAUCACAAGUAGUCUUGCCAAGAAGUUCAACUUAAUCUAAUUGAGAUAAAACAAUCAAAUUCAAACUGUGAAACAUAUGACAAGAAAACUGAACUGGACUAUUGCAAAAUAUUAAUGCGCUGAAAAAACAACUCUCCUCCAAAAAAAAAAAGAGAAAAAAAGUGGAAGUGCUACUCUAAAUCCAUGUAGCAAGCAAUAACCUGUGGGUCAAAUGUGGUAAGGCAGCUGUUUUGUAAAUAAAGUUUUGUGGGAAUACGGCCACACCCAUGUGUUUAUGUAUUAUCUAGGGCUGCUUUUGCCUGCAAUGACACAGUUGAGUCGUUGCAACAGAGACUGUAUGACCUGAAAAUGCUAACAUAUUUUACCAUAUGGCCCUCCGCAGAAAAAGCUUGCCAACCUCUGUUCUAGAUCAGUGGUUUUCAAAAGUGCGGUCCUUAGACAAGCAACUUUUGUGUCACCUACCAGCUUGUUAGAAAUGCCAUUUCAUGGGUCCUGCCUCAACCUAUUGAAUGAAAAUCUCUGGAGAUGGGCACCAGGAGAUUGCUCUAGCAAGCUCUCCAGGAGAUUCUCAUACACAUGGAAGUUUGGCACCGGGAGAUUGCUCUAGCAAGCUCUCCAGGAGAUUCUCAUACACGUGGAAGUUUGGCACCAGGAGAUUGCUCUAGCAAGCUCUCCAGGAGAUUCUCAUAAACGUGGAAGUUUGGCACCAGGAGAUUGCUCUAGCAAGCUCUCCAGGAGAUUCUCAUACACAUGGAAGUUUGAGAACCAUUGUCCUAAAUUAAAGGAGACUAAAAAGGCAUGACAAAAUGCAAUGCGUGAUUCUUACUUGGAGCCUAGACCCAAAAAUAGGAAGGUAUAAGGGACAUUUGGAGACCACUGGAAAAUUUUUAAUGUAAAUCCUAUAUAAGGGACUUUAAAGCAGCAGUCCCCAACCUUUUGGCACCAGGCACCAAUUUCGUGGAAGACAAUUUUUCCAUGGAUGGUGGAGGGCUGUUGUGGGGGAUGUUUCAUCAGGCAUCACAAGGACAGUCCACCCUAGACCCCUCUCAUGCACAAUAGGGUUUGCACCACCACUUAUCUGACAGGAGGCGGAGCUCAGCGGUAAUGCCCUCGUUCUCCUGCUGUGCGGCCAGGUUCCUAACAGGCCACAGACCAGUACAAGUCCAUGGCCCGGAGGGUUGGGGGACUCCUGCUGUAAAGUCAAAUACUGCAGGGCAUAAUUCUCCUGUAUUUCAUUUAAAUUUUCUGAAAAACCUUUGAGGAAGCAGAGACUCACAGAUAUCAGCCUAAGACCCCCUGUUAUAGGCUGAAUUGUGUCCCCUAAAAGAAUACGUUGAACUCAUAACCCCCAGUACUUCAAGUGUGACCUUAUUUGAAAAUAGGGUCAUUCCUUAUGGAUAAAUUAUGAUGAGGUUAUACUAGAGUAGGGUGGGUUCUUAAUCCAGUAUGACUGGUGUACUUUCAAGAAGUGGGCAAGAAACACACAAGGAGAAGGCAGCCAUAUGAGAAUGGAGGUGCUAUGCAUCUACAAGCCAAGGAACACCAAGGAUUGCCAGCAACACCAGAAGCUGGGACAAAGGCAUGGAACAGAUUCUCCCCUAGAGCCUUCAGAGGGAGCGUGACCCUGCCAAUGCCUUGGUUUUGGACUUCCGGCCUCCAGAACUGUGUGAGACAAUUUCUGUCAUUUUAAGCCACCCAGAGGUACUUUGUUAUGGCAGCCUAAGAACACAAAUAGCCAAGAACACAAAUGUCCCUCAAAUGAUAGGACAGAUCCAGGCUUGGCAUCCAGGUGCUCCAACCACCGCCCUGUUGUGAGGACCCAAUCUUCCUGCAUCUGACUUUGGAAACACAAGCUCAAAUGACAGACCAAGGGCAGAAAGAGCAGCUACUGAGGAUGUCCCUGCAUGAUGUCAAGAGCAAUAGCAGGGACAGGUAACACUAAUAGCUGCCCCUUUGGAACACAAACCAUGAGCUAUCAAACUGAUGGCAUGCACACAUUGUUCUGAAACUCAAACAGAAUCUCACCCCAAAGAUCCAGGAACUUUUUAGAACACCCAGAAAGGAACAUGAUUCUACCAAAAGACCCUCAAAACACACAGUGAUUCAUUUUAGGCUUCUUGAUUUCUAAGAUCAUAAACUGCCAAGAAAAAAUGUACAGUAAAUAAUAUUGAAUCAAUGUUAAAUUUCAUAAGAUAAAGCUACUGUGAUUACAUAGGACGAUGUGCUUGUUCUUAUGUGAUACAUGCUGAAAGUGAAGUGUCAUGAUGUUGGCAACUUUCAAAUGAUUUCAGGGGAAAAAAAGAAUAUAUGUAUGAAUAGCAAGCAGAGGUUAAAAAUAUUAACAGUCACAAAUGUAGUGAAGAAUAUAUCAGUGCUCUUGUACUAUUCUUUCAACUUUUCUAUAGGUUUGACAUUUUUCAAAAUGAGAAUUGGGAAAGAGAUCUCAUCAUGAAAGAGAUUGCUUUUGAGUGAAUCUGGAAGAAUGGGGGAAAUUUAGGGAAAGGACAUUGUAGGCACAAAGAACAGCAAGUGCAAGGCCAUGGUAAAAUACAGAAGCUGUAUUUGCUGUACAAGGCCUUUUGCUUAAGCAAAAGUCACAUGGGAAUAAAGAAAAACUACUUUUGGCCAAAAACUGUGCUAGAUCCUGGGCUCAUAAAAUAUAAUCCCUCCCUCAAGGAGCUCGCAGUUUAGGACGUAGUCAAUUUUUAUAUAAGUUUGAAAAUUUUUAUUGUGCCCAGCUCCUAGAGGAUCUUAAAUGGUCAUCUAAUAAGCUUAGAUUUGGCUGGAUAUGAAGUAGGGAACAAUAACAGCAGAUACAAUAAUACAUACUGAAGGCUCACUGUCAAUACCAUUCCUGUAUUAUAUCAUUUACUGUUAAUACCAAUCCCACCAAAUAGGUAAUUUUAUUACCCUCCUUGAAAAGAUGAGCAAUUCAGUCAUAAAGAAAUUAUAUACCUUGCCCAAGGUCAUGCAGUUGGUAAGUGACAGCGCUUGGAUGUGAGCUGUAUGAUCUGGGACCAAAGCCCAUGCAGUUAACUCAUCAACUGCCUCCUCAUUGAGAGAUUUGGAGAAAGAGAGAUGUUCACGGUGACACAUCAGGAAAAUCCAUCUGGUUUUAAGAUAGACUGGAAGCUAAUUUAUUAAAAGUAUCACAAUUAAGGUGACAAAUUCGACAGCAGAAAGCCUUGUGUCCUUCAAAAACACCCAGUUCCCAGUUAGUUAACACCUGGCCAGGUAACUAUCAAAGAUAAUGCCCUAAGGCUUUGGCAUGGGAAUUUAGAGGGGAAUAGGGUUAGAGGCAUGAGGCAGGUGUGGUUGGCUGCCUUCCUGCAGGCAUCUCAUGCCCUUGAUUGCUGGCAAAGCCCACCUCCACCAGAGGCUGUGGGUGUGAGAUUCUCACUUCCCAGACAUUCUUACAGCCAGAGCAAGGGCGUAUGACCCAGUCCUGAUGAUGGAACUCGAUGGGAAGUCUCCUGAGAUCUUCUGCAAAAUGCUUUCUCUCCAAUAAAAAGAGUUGCAAAACAGAAAUCCCUUCCCCUUUUGUGUUUUUUUGUUGUCUGGAUGCAGUAAUUUCUAUAUGAAACUGCUGUCCCCUCAUAACUGUGAGGGAAAAUGUGGCCAACACAGUGGGAACAAGACGGAAGACAUCAGGAUCCUGAAUGACACUGGUCCACUUCACCAAAACUCUUGUAUCCGAUCUUUUGUUUUGUGAUAGAAUAAAUAAAUAUGCCUAAGCCAAGUGCAUGUGUUAUUAAUGUAUUGCCUCUCUGCUUUGAAUGCAUCUUCUAGUAUAUGCUCUGUGAUAAAGGAAUCCAUUUAAGCAGUUCUCC
This 5973-nucleotide long non-coding RNA is filed under the name Homo sapiens (human). RNAcentral's name for it is "non-protein coding lnc-TCP1-6:1". Lineage: Eukaryota; Metazoa; Chordata; Mammalia; Primates; Hominidae. The record is from RNAcentral.